This 459-nucleotide ribosomal RNA is filed under the name uncultured bacterium. Its description in RNAcentral is "partial 16S ribosomal RNA". It matches the Rfam family "Bacterial small subunit ribosomal RNA", at positions 338 to 795 of the family's 1533-position model. The record is from RNAcentral.
CCUACGGGAGGCAGCAGUGAGGAAUAUUGGUCAAUGGCCGGAAGGCUGAACCAGCCAAGCCGCGUGAAGGACGAAGGUGCCAAGCAUUGUAAACUUCUUUUGUCAAGGGACAAAAUCAGGCUCGAGAGCCUGACCGAGGGUACUUGAAGAAAAAGCAUCGGCUAACUCCGUGCCAGCAGCCGCGGUAAUACGGGGGAUGCGAGCGUUAUCCGGAUUUAUUGGGUUUAAAGGGUGCGUAGGCGGACCGUUAAGUCAGCGGUAAAAGCCCGGGGCUCAACCCCGGCGAGCCGUUGAAACUGGCUGUCGUGAGAUGUCGAGAGGUAUGCGGAAUGCGCAGUGUAGCGGUGAAAUGCUUAGAUAUUGCGCAGAACUCCGAUUGCGAAGGCAGCAUACCGGCGGCGAUCUGACGCUGAGGCACGAAAGCGUGGGUAUCGAACAGGAUUAGAUACCCGAGUAGUC